AGAGUUUGAUCCUGGCUCAGGACGAACGCUGACGGUGUGCUUUAGGCAUGCAAGUCGAACGAGAAAGCCCUUUGGGGUGAGUAAAGUGGCGAACGGGUGAGUAACACGUGGGCAACCUGCCCCUCGCAGGGGGACAACCGGAGGAAACUCCGGCUAAUACCCCGUAAGCUCUACACGCCGCAUGGCGAGUAGAGGAAAGGUAGCUUCGGCCAUCCGGCGAGGGAUGGGCCCGCGGUGCAUUAGCUAGUUGGUGGGGUAACGGCCCACCAAGGCGACGAUGCGUAGCUGGUCUGAGAGGAUGAUCAGCCACACUGGGACUGAGACACGGCCCAGACUCCUACGGGAGGCAGCAGCCAGGAAUCUUGGGCAAUGGGCGAAAGCCUGACCCAGCAACACCGUGUGGGUGAUGAAGGCCUUCGGGUCGUAAAGCCCUGUUGAUAGGGACGAAGGGCGAAGGGUUAAUAGCCCCUAGCCUGACGGUACCUUUCGAGGAAGCCCCGGCUAACUACGUGCCAGCAGCCGCGGUAAUACGUAGGGGGCGAGCGUUGUCCGGAAUUAUUGGGCGUAAAGAGCGUGUAGGCGGUUCGGUAAGUCUGUCGUGAAAACCUGGGGCUCAACCCCGGGCGUGCGGUGGAUACUGCCGGGCUAGAGGGUGGUAGAGGCGAGUGGAAUUCCCGGUGUAGCGGUGAAAUGCGCAGAUAUCGGGAGGAACACCAGUAGCGAAGGCGGCUCGCUGGGCCAUUCCUGACGCUGAGACGCGAAAGCUAGGGGAGCAAACAGGAUUAGAUACCCCGGUAGUCC
Molecule: ribosomal RNA, 801 nt
Filed under: uncultured Rubrobacter sp.
Lineage: Bacteria; Bacillati; Actinomycetota; Rubrobacteria; Rubrobacterales; Rubrobacteraceae
Description: bacterial SSU rRNA
Rfam family: Bacterial small subunit ribosomal RNA
Source: RNAcentral